This 169-nucleotide ribosomal RNA is filed under the name uncultured bacterium. Its description in RNAcentral is "partial 16S ribosomal RNA". It matches the Rfam family "Bacterial small subunit ribosomal RNA", at positions 359 to 525 of the family's 1533-position model. The record is from RNAcentral.
GGGGUGCAAUGGGCGCAGCCUGAUGCAGCCAUGCCGCGUGUAUGAAGAAGGCCUUCGGGUUGUAAAGCACUUUCAGUAGGGAGGAAGGGAGUGUAGUUAAUACCUUUGCUAUUUGACGUUACCUACAGAAGAAGCACCGGCUAACUCCGUGCCAGCAGCCGCGGUAAUA